This is a small nucleolar RNA of Sorex fumeus (smoky shrew), 135 nucleotides long. RefSeq annotates it as small nucleolar RNA SNORA1. The transcript has a single exon. Lineage: Eukaryota; Metazoa; Chordata; Mammalia; Eulipotyphla; Soricidae. The record is from RefSeq and is a predicted model, not a curated record.
AGCCUCAUUCUACAUGAAUGUGAGCCUGACUACUCCCAACAUCCAGAUAAUGUGAAUAUGGCCACAUUGACUCACUGGUUAUGCUUCCAUCACAGCAGGCUCAUUACCAUGGUGGCAAUGAGACUUGUGACAUUU